UAAAUGGCCCAUUUUAAACCCUAUAAAAUCCCAUUUUAAAACCCUAAAAUCAUUUCCCUUUUCAGCAACAGCAGCCACCACAAGGACUGCUUUCUCCCCCUCUCUGCCGUUUCAACUCCACCUCCAAUCGGCCAUAACAACGAUGGCGCCUCGACGGCGCGCUGCCGCCGGUAAGAGCUUUUCCCCUUCUUCUUUGUUUCGUUUUUGUUUUAAGAACAAGAAGAAAAAAAAACAAGACAGUAAAAAGAAAAACGAAACCCACUGAUUACCUUCAAAAUUCUUUUUCUUUUUCUUCUUUCAAAUAUCCCUCUAUACAGUAUUUCGCCCCCCCCAUUUACAGAUUUUCGACCGGUUUAUAUAACCGAAAUAAAGAAAAAAUAAAAUCCAAACAAAAUCAUUAUUUCCUAUUAUUGUUGCGCUGUUAUUUUUGCUAUUUCCUUCUUUCUCGUUGUUGUUUAGUUGAUGUUUGUUGCUGCAGAUGUGUGCGCGACGUGCGCAGGGGAGAGUCAUGCUGCGACAUUCGCGGCGGCGAGGGUGAGGCUGCUGUUGGGAUGUGCGGCUAAGGCUGGAGGCUACUAGGGUUUUUUUUGUGUGUGUGUGUUUUAGGCUAAUGGGUUGGGUCUAUUGAAAGGUAUUGGGCUGAAUUUUGGGUUUAGGUUGUAAAUGGUAAUUGGGCCUGCUGUGUUUUUAUUUUGUAUGGGCCCGGGCAGAAAGAAAUUGGGUAUUACAAAGUGGUUUGUUUUCGAUACAUUCAUAGGUCAGCCAAUGGGAUAGUACACAUGCUUGCCUAUUGGUCUUUUCGGGAGGAUUUUUUUUUUUUUUGGUUUAAACCAUCCGAAUGUCAUUCACCAAAUUGUGUUAGAUGAUGCUAUGAAUUUUUAUGUUUGGAUUUUGAUUAAAAAAGUUUAUAUUCUUGUUUGGAUUUAAAAUUUUCAAUCAAUUUUAAUUUGGCAUGAUGCCAAAAAUAUCCCCUAAUGUUUAC
This 982-nucleotide long non-coding RNA is filed under the name Gossypium barbadense (sea-island cotton). RNAcentral describes it as "long non-coding RNA (GBAR_LNC021234)". The record is from RNAcentral. Lineage: Eukaryota; Viridiplantae; Streptophyta; Magnoliopsida; Malvales; Malvaceae.